AGUGCAGAACGCGAAGUGGCCGAGCGACCAGUCUUUCAAACUGGUGAUUAGCGGGUUCAAGCCCCGUCUGCAUUACCA
RNAcentral lists this transfer RNA (78 nucleotides) under Alkalinema sp. RU_4_3. RNAcentral's name for it is "tRNA-Glu". It matches the Rfam family "tRNA". Rfam says of the family: Transfer RNA (tRNA) molecules are approximately 80 nucleotides in length. Their secondary structure includes four short double-helical elements and three loops (D, anti-codon, and T loops). Lineage: Bacteria; Bacillati; Cyanobacteriota; Cyanophyceae; Leptolyngbyales; Leptolyngbyaceae. The record is from RNAcentral.